This 460-nucleotide ribosomal RNA is filed under the name uncultured bacterium. RNAcentral's name for it is "partial 16S ribosomal RNA". It matches the Rfam family "Bacterial small subunit ribosomal RNA", at positions 338 to 795 of the family's 1533-position model. The record is from RNAcentral.
CCUACGGGAGGCAGCAGUGAGGAAUAUUGGUCAAUGGACGAGAGUCUGAACCAGCCAAGUAGCGUGAAGGAUGACUGCCCUAUGGGUCGUAAACUUCUUUUAUAUGGGAAUAAAAUGUUCCACGUGUGGGAUUUGGUAGGUAACAUAUGAAUAAGGAUCGGCUAACUCCGGGCCAGGAGCCGCGGUAAUACGGAGGAUCGGAGCGUUAUCCGGAUUUAUUGGGUUUAAAGGGAGCGUAGGGGGAUUGUUAAGGCCGGUGUGAAAGUUUGCGGCUAAACCGUCAAAUUGCAGUUGAAACUGGCAGUCUUGAGUACAGUAGAGGUAGGCGGAAUUCGUGGUGUAGCGGUGAAAUGCUUAGAUAUCACGAAGAACUCCGAUUGCGAAGGCAGUUCACUGGACUGCAACUGACACUGAGGCUCGAAAGUGUGGGUAUCAAACAGGAUUAGAUACCCGUGUAGUC